UCGGGAAUCUUCGGCAAUGGGCGAAAGCCUGACCGAGCGAUGCCGCGUGCGGGAUGAAGGCCUUCGGGUUGUAAACCGCUGUCGUAGGGGAGAAAGGGUCGUUGAAGAAACGACUUUGAUCUAUCCUAGGAGGAAGUCCGGGCUAAGUUCGUGCCAGCAGCCGCGGUAACACGAACCGGACAAACGUUAUUCGGAAUUACUGGGCUUAAAGGGUGCGUAGGCGGUGCGGUAAGUGCGGUGUGAAAUCCCACGGCUCAACCGUGGAAUUGCGCUGCAUACUGCCGUGCUAGAGGGAGACAGGGGUAAGCGGAACUGAUGGUGGAGCGGUGAAAUGCGUUGAUAUCAUCAGGAACACCGGUGGCGAAAGCGGCUUACUGGGUCUCUUCUGACGCUGAGGCACGAAAGCUAGGGUAGCGAACGGGAUUAGAUACCCAAGUAGUCCCUG
Molecule: ribosomal RNA, 445 nt
Filed under: uncultured bacterium
Lineage: Bacteria
Description: bacterial SSU rRNA
Rfam family: Bacterial small subunit ribosomal RNA
Source: RNAcentral